RNAcentral lists this ribosomal RNA (254 nucleotides) under uncultured Glomeraceae. RNAcentral's name for it is "partial small subunit ribosomal RNA". It matches the Rfam family "Eukaryotic small subunit ribosomal RNA", at positions 624 to 882 of the family's 1831-position model. Lineage: Eukaryota; Fungi; Glomeromycota; Glomeromycetes; Glomerales; Glomeraceae. The record is from RNAcentral.
AAGCUCGUAGUUGAAUUUCGGGAUCAGUAAGUUGGUCGUGCCUCCGGUAUGUACUGGCUUUACUGGUUCCUCCUUCUUGAAGAACUGUAAUGUCAUUAAUUUGGUGUUGCAAGGAAACAGGACUGUUACUUUGAAAAAAUUAGAGUGUUUAAAGCAGGCUAACGCUUGAAUACAUUAGCAUGGAAUAAUGAAAUAGGACGUUUGAUCCUAUUUUGUUGGUUUCUAGGAUCGACGUAAUGAUUAAUAGGGAUGGG